CACGUAGGCACCAAGCGUUGUCCGGAUUUAUUGGGCGUAAAGAGCUCGUAGGCGGUUCGGUAAGUCGGGUGUGAAAACUUUGGGCUCAACCCAAAGCCUGCACCCGAUACUGCUGUGACUUGAGUCCGGUAGGGGAGUGGGGAAUUCCUGGUGUAGCGGUGGAAUGCGCAGAUAUCAGGAGGAACACCGGUGGCGAAGGCGCCACUCUGGGCCGGUACUGACGCUGAGGAGCGAAAGCGUGGGGAGCGAACAGG
RNAcentral lists this ribosomal RNA (254 nucleotides) under uncultured bacterium. RNAcentral describes it as "partial 16S ribosomal RNA". It matches the Rfam family "Bacterial small subunit ribosomal RNA", at positions 524 to 776 of the family's 1533-position model. The record is from RNAcentral.